UCCCACCUCAGCCUCUCAAGUAACUAGAACUACAGCUUUUCUGGAACCACCUCCACGGACCUGGGUUACAAUCUGAGCCCUUCUGCUGGAAUCAUCCCAGUGCCUGCCUUCUGCUGUUUUCACAUCGAUCGCAGCAGGGUAUGUGUUUGUUCUAUUACCGAGUUUGAGAACAAACACAUAACACAAGCUGAACAAUAUCAGCCCAGAUGUCAUGAGAAGAAAAGACUGUGUGAGGGAAGAGCCCCGGAGGAUAAUAACGACGGACAAUAAUUCACAAAUCCGCCAAGUUCAAUUUCUCCUCAAAAUAAACAUGGAAAGACAAGGACGGAGAUCAGAAUCAGAACAGCCCCUGUGCCAAUUCUUCCUCGGUUCAGAAGAGCCACUUGCUGUACUGUCAACAGUGACUUUCAAAACCAAAAGCAGUCCCGUGGGGUAUCCUAGGCCUACUGAGUACAUGAGCUGGGAAAAUCCUCAUGUGUAAGGCUGAAAACUGAGGCCGUUUGUUAUACAAUUCUACAGGCUCAUGAGUGGAAAAUGUUGCAUUUUUCCAGUUUUCAUUAGUUAUUUAAGAAUCUAAGAGGUUCCAGGUUUAUAAAUGAAAUGAA
Lemur catta (Ring-tailed lemur) is the source of this 605-nucleotide long non-coding RNA. RefSeq lists it as uncharacterized. The record is from RefSeq and is a predicted model, not a curated record. The transcript is spliced from 3 exons. Lineage: Eukaryota; Metazoa; Chordata; Mammalia; Primates; Lemuridae.